This 508-nucleotide ribosomal RNA is filed under the name uncultured bacterium. Its description in RNAcentral is "partial 16S ribosomal RNA". It matches the Rfam family "Bacterial small subunit ribosomal RNA", at positions 28 to 507 of the family's 1533-position model. The record is from RNAcentral.
GACGAACGCUGGCGGCGUGCUUAACACAUGCAAGUCGAACGGGAUAAUUUGAGAGCUUGCUCUUAGAGAAUCUAGUGGCAAACGGGUGAGUAACACGUAGACAACCUGCCGACAGGAUGGGGACAACAUUCCGAAAGGAAUGCUAAUACCGAAUGAAGCGGAGGAGAGGCAUCUCUCCUCCGUGAAAGAUGGCCUCUGAAUAUGCUAUCACCUGUCGAUGGGUCUGCGUCUGAUUAGCUAGUUGGUGAGGUAACGGCUCACCAAGGCGACGAUCAGUAGCCGGUCUGAGAGGAUGAACGGCCACAUUGGGACUGAGACACGGCCCAGACUCCUACGGGAGGCAGCAGUGGGGAAUCUUCCGCAAUGGGCGCAAGCCUGACGGAGCAACGCCGCGUGAGUGAAGAAGGGCUUCGGAUCGUAAAGCUCUGUUGACGGGGACGAACGUGCGAAGGGUGAAUAAUCCUUUGUAAUGACGGUACCUGUCGAGGAAGCCACGGCUAACUACGUG